Pistacia vera is the source of this 647-nucleotide long non-coding RNA. RefSeq lists it as uncharacterized. The transcript is spliced from 3 exons. The record is from RefSeq and is a predicted model, not a curated record. Lineage: Eukaryota; Viridiplantae; Streptophyta; Magnoliopsida; Sapindales; Anacardiaceae.
GCAGUCCGUCGAAGUGGGAGUCGACCAAAAGGCACCGAAGCGACCAGGAUGAAAGAGAGAGGAUUCGGAGCAGGAGCUUAGGAAAGAGAAAAGGAGAGGGAGUUAAGGCUAUAAGGGAGGGUGCUGACGCUGUAAUUGCAGUUGGAGGAGAUGGAACUCUUCAUGAGGUUGUUAAUGGAUUCUUUUGGGCCUCAAAAACUGUAAGCAGUCACAAUAGGAGUGAUGGAGACCAGGUGUUCUUGUAUGCAAAAUUUUAAUUGAUUUGGAGUUGAAAGUUAUGUUUCACUAUGCAUGGUGUUGUAGAUUUGGGUGCCUAAGCAUAUUGUAAAGGUUAGACCGUUAGAAGAUCUUAAACUAAAUGUGAUGCGAGAGAAGCAUUAUAAAUUUGCUUUAGUAGGAGUGAUAAACCAGCAGAAGAACACGAUAAACAAGACAGAUUAUAGAGAAAUAGCGGGGGUUAGCAUGGGUAACUUGCAGGUAGAACCGAAACUAGAAUCGGAACCUACCCAGAACUGAUACUAUGCGGAUGGGUUUUGGUUCCAUUUUUUUGAAACCAACACUGUGUGGUUCUGAUUUGGUUCCUACAUGUGGAGGAACCGGAAUCGGAACUGGAACCGGAACUUGGAAAAAAGAAUCUGUAGCGAGUA